This 277-nucleotide long non-coding RNA is filed under the name Homo sapiens (human). Its description in RNAcentral is "novel transcript". Lineage: Eukaryota; Metazoa; Chordata; Mammalia; Primates; Hominidae. The record is from RNAcentral.
GGUCAGGGGACCAUCUUCUUAUUCCCUCUUUUCUCAUUCCUCCAACUUCCUCCCCUCCUUCAAUUAUUUUUUUGUAAAGUUGAUGCCUUACUUUUUGGAUAAAUAUUUUUGAAGCUGGUAUUUCUAUUUCUUUUGGAUUUUUUUUAAUGUAAGGUUGUUUUGGGGGAUGGAGUUAGAACCUUAAUGAUAAUUUCUUUCGUUUGGUGUAGGUUUUAGAGAUUUGUUUUGUGGAGAGGUUUUUUUCUUUUGAUGUAAUAAAAUUUAAAAUGGAAAUGAA